AUUGAACGCUGGCGGCAUGCCUUACACAUGCAAGCCGAACGGCAGCACGGGUGCUUGCACCUGGUGGCGAGUGGCGAACGGGUGAGUAAUACAUCGGAACGUACCUUAUCGUGGGGGAUAACGCAGCGAAAGUUGCGCUAAUACCGCAUACGCCCUGAGGGGGAAAGCGGGGGACCGUAAGGCCUCGCGCGAUUAGAGCGGCCGAUGUCUGAUUAGCUUGUUGGCGAGGUAAAAGCUCACCAAGGCGAUGAUCAGUAGCUGGUCUGAGAGGACGAUCAGCCACACUGGGACUGAGACACGGCCCAGACUCCUACGGGAGGCAGCAGUGGGGAAUUUUGGACAAUGGGGGCAACCCUGAUCCAGCAAUGCCGCGUGAGUGAAGAAGGCCUUCGGGUUGUAGAGCUCUUUUGUCAGGGAAGAAACAGCAGCUCUAACACAGUCUGCGAAAGUGACGGUACCUGCAGAAAAAGCACCGGCUAACUACGUGCCAGCCGCCGCCGUAA
Molecule: ribosomal RNA, 503 nt
Filed under: uncultured bacterium
Lineage: Bacteria
Description: partial 16S ribosomal RNA
Rfam family: Bacterial small subunit ribosomal RNA
Source: RNAcentral